Polypterus senegalus (gray bichir) is the source of this 4646-nucleotide long non-coding RNA. RefSeq lists it as uncharacterized. NCBI's taxonomy places the organism in Eukaryota, Metazoa, Chordata, Cladistia, Polypteriformes, Polypteridae. The record is from RefSeq and is a predicted model, not a curated record. The transcript has 4 exons.
GAAAAAAUGACAUUUUGAGUAUUAUGAAUGCUUUCAAAAGUGCAAAGGUUUUAAAUACAUAUUGUAUAGACUGAAUUAUAUGGUAUAACCAGCUGUCAAAGCUACCAAAGACUGCCAUACCUGCAGAGUCAGUUAUCAGUCAGAAUAAUUUGUGUCCAACAGUAGUGUAAAUCUAGUCUCUGCUACUAGAGAACCGAAUUUCAUUCUAACUGAGCACUCAGUCAGAACUUGUCUCUUUUCUUUACCAUGCACCCAUUUACUGGACUUAUUUAAACCUUCUUAAGAAAGAUGUGAUGUUUAUUAUUUUAUGGUCAGGUGGAGCUGGAGUGAAAUCUUGACAGCGUAAGGUGUAAGUAAGGAAUCAUCCCUAGUUGGGAUACCCGUGAAUUCCAACUGAGACAAGUCAUUGAUUGUACAAAAUUCGCACCAAGUCUCACAGUAACAGUGUAUUGCAUUUAAAUAUUUAUAUGGUUGUUUAGCCAACUGUGAAUAAGUAGAGUGUCAUGGUAGUACAAUGACUAGCAUUGUUAUCUGCCAGAUCCAGCAUCCUGAGUUUGAAACCCACACUUGUUUUUUGUGUCUAUGUGGAGUCUGUAUGUCUUUCUCACAUCUGUCAUUUUUCUAGUCUUCAGGAGAAGGAGGUGUCCUUGUGACACUAGGCACAACAACCCUAGACAGAGUGCCUGCCCAUUAAGUCCAAUUUCUACUCUAAAUUUGAGCAAAUGUAUUUGAGAAUAUUACCUUAAUUCAUUUUUUCAACAACUGGCCUCCUUGCAGAGCUGUUUCCAACACUGAACGUUUUGCUGCCCUAUACAUUUAACUUCCUGUGGACCUGACCAGGCUGAAAUGUCUGUUGAAGAUCGAUGGGGAAAAAAGCAAGUGUCUUACAAAUUUGCAUUUCUCAAAAAGUUAUACAAAGAUUUGUUAUUUAAAUUGUUAAAAAGUGAAGAUAUGUAAAGAAAAAAAGUAAUGCGGCUUAGAUCAGGGAUUCUUUUAGUUUUUGUGUUUGGGAAUUUACAUUGCUACAGGUUUUCAUUCAUUCCAUUUACUUAAGUAGCUGUCACCACUUCCUACCUCUAACCAAACUCUAAUCUUGUAUGUUAAGUGUUUAACAAACUUAAGACAUACGGAUGUUAAGACCUUUGCUAUCUGAGACCACUAGUGUUUUUUUCAUUUUGAUUCAGCUCUCUUAAUAGUACAUACCUUCAAUUGUUUUUAAAUGAUUUAUUUAGCAUAACAAAAUAUUUUAUAAAGGGACAUGUUGUACAUGUAAACUGUAUGCUGCAGAUAAAGUACCAAACUCUUUGGUAAAUGUCUGUAAAAAGUAAGACAACCUAUAAUGUACAUUUUCAAUUGUUAUUGAGUACACGUCAAGGAUAUCUGAUUAAUUAUUUUUUUAACAUUUUAAUUUCUUGUAAGUUAGCCUGGUGUUUAUAAGCACAUUGUCAUCCUGUUUCCUUAUUUGUUGUACUAAUCUGAAAAAUGUAUACAUUGUAAGAAAGUAUUUUAUAUUAUUUCUAUUGUAGGAAUGCAGAUAGAUUGGACUUUGGUACUUUAUUGGUGGGAUUUAUGUAGGAUUUUUGUCAGAGACUGAAAUUUUUUUGCUAAAUAUAAUGAUGAAUAAAAUAAAACCAAGUUUCUUUAAAAGGACUAGAUAUUACAAUCCCUGAUGAUUUAGCACAGCACUUGCCUUGAGUGAAGUUGGACAUGUCAUCUUUGUCGGGAUGGUGUUGAUAAUGACCACUUAGUGAUGUUUCUACCAAUAUGACAUAUCAUCAGUAUACUCCAGCCACAUAGGGUGUUUUGGCCUUUUACCACUAAACAUCCUCAGCCGAGGCAAGCCCACCACAGGCUGAUCAGACCUGAGCGUGUGUCCAAUGGUUAUUAAGUGGUCAUUUGGCAGCCCAUACUAUUUCUUUCAGCAACAUUGGCAAGUUCCUUAAUGGUCUUCCGCUGGGCCUGCCCACCAAUGUCCACUUUUUUCAGCAGCCUUGUAGUGGAACUGGCUACAAAGCAUCCUCCCAAGGGACUGGCAGCUCAACGAUGAAGAUACAUCAGCAGGAGUUAGACCAAAGGACCAAAUCUGGGCGCAGAUUGGUGGCUGCAACUUCAAAUGGAAAGCCUCCAGUUUAGUGUCGCUCCUUUGAUACUAGACCUAGAAUAGCAUCUGGUGACCCGGCAUGACUUCUGAGGAGUACUUCUGGGUUUUUGAUAACCAGGGCAGUCCUUCCCUGAUAGUGCACUCUUGCUGUGUCCAGUGACCCUGACAGCGUUGCAUUUUUGGAUUCCAGUUCACAUGAACUCCUGCAUCCCCCACACUAUGCGACUCUUCAAUUCCAUCUUGGGAGCAUCAGAACAGGAAGGAAGAUAACUGAGAACCCGCUACCUCCUCAGCUCCACCACCAUUUGUCUCACUGAUUCUAUGCAGAGUGUAUCAUUCUAUUGCUGCCAGCACUGCUGCUACCAACUACGGGAAAUUCAACCUGGGACUGAUGACAUCACUUCUGGUUCAAGUCCUGCUGACGUCACUUCCUGUUUCGGUCCCGAUGACAUCAUUUUGUCUAAGCGGCUUUAAAAAUGCCAUUUUGUGUUUUCAAAUCAGUUCUGUUUUAGACUCAAGUCUGUAAAGACCUAUUUUGUUAUUUGACACUCUGUAAAAAGGCAACAAUGAUGCUACAGCACAGCCACAGUUCUACCAUUACUCUAUUUAGUUUUAUUUCUUUUCUUUCUUUUAUAGUCUGCAGAAUUCUAGAAAGCUAAAACGAAUGUUCAUUCAUUCAUUUUCUAUUACUUAUCAGGGAUUGAGUCGCAGAGACAAAAGUCCAGUGAGGCCCAUAUGUCCCUUUCCCCAGCCACACUCACUAGCUCACUCAUAUUGUGGGAUCCCAAGGUGUUACCAGGCUAUCUGGAAUAUAUAAUCAUCUCAUUGAGCCCUGGCUUCCCCAGGGUCUCCUCCCAGCUGGUCAUGAUCAUAAAAUAUUCACAGGGAGGCAUUCAUAUCAAAUGCCCAGACCAACUCAAUUGGCUCCGCUUCAUGGAGAGGAUCAACGGCUCUACUCCAAGCCUCCCCUGGAUGUCUGUGAUUUUAACCCUAUCUCUAAGGGAUAGCCCAGCCACCUUGCAGUGAAAGCUCAUUUUGGCCAUUUGUACCCACGAUUUUGUCCUUUCAGACAUUAACCAAAGCUCAGGUAGGGUAGGGACGUAAAUUGAUUGGUAAAUUGAGAGCUUUUCCUUCUCGCUCAACUCCUUCAUCACUCAGAUUGGUAUAGUAGCAGUCACAGUCGAGCCUUAAUGAAGAACUCCCCUCCUAAUUUCACACUCAAUAUGCCUUAGGCUGUGGAAUGGCAAACCACACUUCUAGGAUCAGAGAAGGCUCUACAUUUGCCCCAGUGGCCCUUAAAUGCCUUUGCCCUCCUAACACUUCUGCUGUCCCUAAGACAUUGUGUUUACAAUGCAGCUCCCAUUCUAGCAGAAUUGUUAGAGGAAGAGCAAGGUUCCAUAUAUUUCUUGCUGUAUGCCCUCUCUAGCAGACAGUACAUGUUUCCACAUCUGUGGUUUACUUUCUGAGCCCAGUCUGUCGCUGAGCAAAGUGUCAGACAUUCCUAUCCACCAUUUACUUGCCUCUUUUCUACUGUUCAUGUGAAAUAUUAAAUGCCUCCAUCCACUAUAUUCUUCAGUGUUUUUCUCGCAUACUCCUGCUAGUGCCUCUGUGCAAUGCCAUUCCUCCUUCCUCCACCCCAGUCCUCCCACACAUACUUUGCGGCCAGAUAUGCAACUAGGUUAUGGAAAUCUUUUUCAGCUGAGCAUUAUAACUGGUGGCUCCGAUUCCAGUAACUUGGCUUCACAUUUCAUCUCUUCCAUCGUAUGGAAAAUGACUAGAGAAAGAUAGUGGAAGCACACCCUAAGUGAUUCUCCGCUGAUAACAAUGGAAAUGCUGGGGUUACUGCUGCAAGCUCACAGCUCCAAAAGACUGUCAUAGUAUGUGUUGAGUUUGUGCACAUGUGGGUUUUCCACCCAUACUCUAAAGAUGUGCUUGUGCAUGUUUAUGUUUGGUCACCUAGGAACUUUCAACUAGUCCAGUUUCAGUGUAAAUGUGUUUGAGCAUUCCCGAUGGAAGGGUUGUGUACUGUCCAGUGUUGGCACCUGCUUUUUGCCUAAUACUGCCAGAACAGAAACUAGCUCCAGGAACCUUGAACUAGACAAAGGAAUACAUUAAUGGGAUGGACGUACAUGUUUUAAGAGUUCUAUCAUGUAAAAUGUUCACCCAAAGCUGUUUUCCCUUUUUUGACUCAUAUUUGACUUUAUAGCUUUGUAUAUGUAAACUCUAUUACUUUUUCUACGGAUGGAGUGCUUUGGGUUUUAAAGUGUAAGUGCACUUUAUAAGAACAAAAUGAACAAAAAAAAAUCAUAUAAUUAAUAAAUUAUGACAUUUUUAAUACAUCUCUUGAUUUGUGACAGUCACUUAAAAAGUGUUACACAAUCAAUCUUUACUUUAUAUAGUACCAUUCAGUUUAGAAAAAGCAGUAACACUUAUUCUAAAGAGGGACGAGGGCAGCGUAGGGAAACAACAGAAAAUGUCUCUUCAGGGACCCUUGGCUUGACUGUUGGUAAGGUCAUUAUUUUUCUGGUAUUUUCUCCUUUUUGUU